Molecule: ribosomal RNA, 253 nt
Filed under: uncultured bacterium
Lineage: Bacteria
Description: partial 16S ribosomal RNA
Rfam family: Bacterial small subunit ribosomal RNA
Source: RNAcentral
UACGGGGGGGGCAAGCGUUGUUCGGAAUUACUGGGCGGAAAGGGCUCGUAGGCGGCCAACUAAGUCGAACGUGAAAUCCCUCAGCUUAACUGGGGAACUGCGUCCGAUACUGAUUGGCUUGAAUCCGGAAGAGGGAUGCGGAAUUCCAGGUGUAGCGGUGAAAUGCGUAGAUAUCUGGAGGAACACCGGUGGCGAAGGCGGCAUCCUGGGUCGGUACUGACGCUGAGACGCGAAAGCGUGGGGAGCGAACAGG